RNAcentral lists this ribosomal RNA (226 nucleotides) under uncultured Oscillospiraceae bacterium. RNAcentral's name for it is "partial 16S ribosomal RNA". It matches the Rfam family "Bacterial small subunit ribosomal RNA", at positions 1157 to 1382 of the family's 1533-position model. Lineage: Bacteria; Bacillati; Bacillota; Clostridia; Eubacteriales; Oscillospiraceae. The record is from RNAcentral.
GUAAAUACGGAGGAAGGUGGGGAGUGAUGUCAAAUCAUCAUGCCCCUUAUGUCCUGGGCUACACACGUACUACAAUGGCUGAUACAAAGCGAAGCGAUACCGCGAGGAGGAGCAAAUCGCAAAAAUCAGUCUCAGUUCGGAUUGCAGGCUGAAACCCGCCUGCAUGAAGUCGGAAUUGCUAGUAAUGGCAGGUCAGCAUACUGCCGUGAAUACGUUCCCGGGCCUU